RNAcentral lists this long non-coding RNA (1689 nucleotides) under Panax ginseng (ginseng). RNAcentral describes it as "long non-coding RNA (PGIN_LNC018913)". The record is from RNAcentral. Lineage: Eukaryota; Viridiplantae; Streptophyta; Magnoliopsida; Apiales; Araliaceae.
UGAACGGUGUUGGUUGAUUUGCACAAGUACUGCUAGUUUUAUUUGAGAUAUUUAAAGACUUCUCACCUUAUUAAAUCAAAAGCUGCCUUAGUUGAGUGGGAUAUUUAGUUGUUGGCUGAGACUUUAAUUGUCUUGAUGAUUUUUGUGUCUGCUUGUGGAAUCUUUAGAUUUUACCAGCAGCAAGGAGUUUGAAUCAUACACUUAUAAUUGCAAUCAAUUUUAUUUUUACCUCCUCUGAUGUUUAUUAAUCAUGAGGUCAUUGUCUGAUUAAAUCAUUCUUUGUAAAUUUGGCUAAUAACGCAUCAAGAUCUUGAUGAUCUUUUCAUCCACUUGUGGUCAUUUCUAGAUUUUAGUUCACAUGAGUGUGAUUUUAGUUCACUUGUCUUCAUGAUCAAGUAUUUUCUUUAUGGAGGCAAAAUUACAUAAUUUCAUUGUGUGAAAUGAUCACUUUGUUAUAAUAUUUGAUAGCAUACCAACAUGGUGCAUGGGGCCAAUUUUGGGAACUACUACUUCUCCAUAAUCAUGGAAGCAAUUCUUUCUAAGUUUUAUAUAUCCUACAUCUACCAGAAAUGUGGCUUUAAAUGGUAGGGAGAUUUAACAGAAUCAUGAUCUUCCUUUUCGAUGGAAAUUACAUUUAUUUCUGGACAUGACAGAGUAAUGGUUUUCAUGUCUUCUUCCUUCCAGUUUGCGAGUGACAUAUCUGCUUAUUGCUUCUUACAUACAUUUCACACACUACUUUCUUCCCAUAUUUUAACUCAGGAUCAGUGGUGAUCUAUCUAUCUUUUUUAAAUACUUGAUUAGUUUUACCAGAAUUAAGCAGAGCCAUGGCAUAGGGCUUACUAGGUUACUUCUUCCAUUUGUCCUAUAUAUUCUAUUAUGUUCUAGCAUGUACAAGGUAAUGGGUUGUCAUGAUCUUUAAUUAUGACUGUCUAUUUUAUGAACAUAUAUAGUUUGGAUUUCUGAUUCAGAAUUUCAUGGCUAGCUGCUCACUGGAAUGACAAAAUGAUCUCUUGGGGGUGAAAAAGAUGGGCUCCUCUUAAUUUAAAAAAAAUGUAUGCUCAUUACAUACAUACUACACGUCCUCAACUACGUACCAUGUAUUCAUGGGUGUAUAUAUGCGGCUAUUAGCAUUCUUGUGUUCAUAUCUAUAUAUAACUCAUUACUUUUUGAGGAAAUUCACACUUUGGUGUUGUUCUGCCCAAAAGAUGGUGAUUGUUAUUGAGAUAACAAUCACUAAAGUUGUAGUAGCAUCGUUACAUGUUAACCACAUAUUAAUUGUACAAAUUUCUUUAGAAAUAAUGGAACCAAAAAAAUUCAACUUCAAACUAAAUUAAUUUUCACCUUAGUGAUCCAUUGUCACUAUCAUUCUUUAAUGUAAACCAUUGCUUUCAUAUAUAUAUAUAUAUAUAUAUAUAUAUAUAUAUAUAUAUAUAAAGUCAUGCAUUUAAACCUAUCAACGCUACUUUACUUGACAAAUUAUCCACUAAUAUCACUAAUACUUCAUCUUUAGGUCAUAUAGAUUUUUACCUAACCAGUCUCAUAGUUUGAAAAUGAACUAUUUCUGUUAAAUAAGUUUACCAAGUGAUGGACAUCACAGAAAUUUAUGUCAAACUUUUCCAUGUAACUCAGGAUAAGUAUGAUAUUCUCAACAUUUUGAUAAUUAGUUAAUUUUAACACAAAUAAGCAGUG